Ornithodoros turicata is the source of this 692-nucleotide long non-coding RNA. RefSeq lists it as uncharacterized. Lineage: Eukaryota; Metazoa; Arthropoda; Arachnida; Ixodida; Argasidae. The record is from RefSeq and is a predicted model, not a curated record. The transcript has 4 exons.
CCGGUUAAUCCUUUGCGCAAAGCCAAAAGUCGGUAAGAAAUAAUAUUUAAAAAUUACCUGUUGCUAGAUGCACUUUGCCUAGGGGGCUACGUGUCGCUGUGUUUUUGGCUUUGGGUGGUUAUGGCGGACGUAGGCGAAGCACGUUGUUUCUGUGUGAUCAAUUUCCUUUUCCAGCAAAACCUUUCUUGGCUGCACAACGUAUUUUAAUCUGCGUGCAGUGUAUGAACUCGUGAUAUAUGCGGACAAAGUGGAGGUAGUUACUACAGUGUCAAGGAGUUGCACUUCCAUGAAGGAUCGGUGGACGAUUUUAGCUCAACGGCUGUUUAUGCCUGCUGGCGAAGAAACGAUGGACUGUUGUCCCGCCAAGGUGCCGAUAAUGAAAGAAAACGUACCUUAUCAAGACAGUGUGACGUCCACAAGCAAGUGCCACAGAUUUUUUAUGCUCAUGACACGGAUGCAGCUCUGUGCGAGAAGUGGCAAGAACAGUGCGGUCACCUAGGGAGCUCCACGGACAGAUCAUGACUGCAAAGCGGCGCCAGCAGUUGCUGCUGUCACGAGUUGCUUUCAGGAGUACACUGCCACGAAGCCCAGCUGCAAAGGCAGAAGUCUGACUGAGUGAAUUGAUCCAAUUAACAGCUACUUGGCUGACUUCCUAAAAAGGCUAUAAGACAAUAAAUUUUGUCAAAUUGACA